RNAcentral lists this ribosomal RNA (445 nucleotides) under uncultured bacterium. Its description in RNAcentral is "bacterial SSU rRNA". It matches the Rfam family "Bacterial small subunit ribosomal RNA", at positions 354 to 796 of the family's 1533-position model. The record is from RNAcentral.
GUGAGGAAUAUUGGUCAAUGGGCGCAAGCCUGAACCAGCCAUCCCGCGUGCAGGAAGACGGCCCUAUGGGUUGUAAACUGCUUUUCCAGGAGACGAACAGCUCUUACGUGUAAGGGUAUGACUGUACCUUGGGAAUAAGCAUCGGCUAACUCCGUGCCAGCAGCCGCGGUAAUACGGAGGAUGCAAGCGUUAUCCGGAUUCAUUGGGUUUAAAGGGUGCGUAGGCGGAUUAUUAAGUCAGUGGUGAAAUCCUACAGCUUAACUGUAGAACUGCCAUUGAUACUGAUAGUCUUGAAUUUGGUUAAGGUAGGCGGAAUGUGUAAUGUAGCGGUGAAAUGCUUAGAUAUUACACAGAACACCAAUUGCGUAGGCAGCUUACUGGACCGACAUUGACGCUGAGGCACGAAAGCGUGGGGAUCGAACAGGAUUAGAUACCCGAGUAGUCC